This 165-nucleotide ribosomal RNA is filed under the name Stenostomum resinosum. Its description in RNAcentral is "Neolaugeria resinosa 5.8S ribosomal RNA". It matches the Rfam family "5.8S ribosomal RNA". Rfam says of the family: 5.8S ribosomal RNA (5.8S rRNA) is a component of the large subunit of the eukaryotic ribosome. It is transcribed by RNA polymerase I as part of the 45S precursor that also contains 18S and 28S rRNA. The record is from RNAcentral. Lineage: Eukaryota; Viridiplantae; Streptophyta; Magnoliopsida; Gentianales; Rubiaceae.
CGACUCUCGGCAACGGAUAUCUCGGCUCUCGCAUCGAUGAAAACGUAGCGAAAUGCGAUACUUGGUGUGAAUUGCAGAAUCCCGUGAACCAUCGAGUCUUUGAACGCAAGUUGCGCCCGAAGCCAAUAGGCCGAGGGCACGUCUGCCUGGGCGUCACGCAUCGCG